CCUACGGUGGGCUGCAGUGAGGAAUAUUGGUCAAUGGGCGGAAGCCUGAACCAGCCAAGUAGCGUGCAGGAUGACGGCCCUACGGGUUGUAAACUGCUUUUAUACGGGAAUAACGCGCCUUACGUGUAGGGCUUUGCAUGUACCUUAUGAAUAAGGACCGGCUAAUUCCGUGCCAGCAGCCGCGGUAAUACGGAGGGUCCGAGCGUUAUCCGGAUUUAUUGGGUUUAAGGGGUGCGCAGGCGGCGUGUCAAGUCAGCGGUAAAAUGUCGGGGCUCAACCCCGGCCGGCCGUUGAAACUGGCGUGCGCGAGUUGGAGAGGAGUAUGCGGAAUUCGUGGUGUAGCGGUGAAAUGCAUAGAUAUCACGAAGAACCCCGAUUGCGAAGGCAGCAUACCGGCUCCACACUGACGCUGAGGCACGAAAGCGUGGGUAUCGAACAGGAUUAGAUACCCUUGUAGUC
Molecule: ribosomal RNA, 459 nt
Filed under: uncultured bacterium
Lineage: Bacteria
Description: partial 16S ribosomal RNA
Rfam family: Bacterial small subunit ribosomal RNA
Source: RNAcentral